UACGUAGGUGGCAAGCGUUGUCCGGAUUCAUUGGGCGUAAAGAGCUCGUAGGCGGCCACUCAAGUCGAAUGUGAAACCUCGAGGCUUAACCUCGAGCCUGCAUUCGAUACUGGGCGGCUAGAGUCUGGUAGGGGGAUCUGGAAUUCCUGGUGUAGCGGUGGAAUGCGCAGAUAUCAGGAGGAACACCGGUGGCGAAGGCGAGUCCCUGGACAACACCUGACACUGAGGCACGAAAGCUAGGGGAGCAAACAGG
Molecule: ribosomal RNA, 253 nt
Filed under: uncultured bacterium
Lineage: Bacteria
Description: partial 16S ribosomal RNA
Rfam family: Bacterial small subunit ribosomal RNA
Source: RNAcentral